GAGUUUGAUCGUGGCUCAGAAUCAACGCUGGCGGCGUGCCUCAGACAUGCAAGUCGAACGAUUAAAGCUCCCUUCGGGGAGUGCAUAAAGUGGCGCACGGGUGAGUAACACGUAAGUAAUCUGCCUUCGAGUGGGGAAUAACCCGGGGAAACCCGAGCUAAUACCGCAUAAUGCAGCGGCACCUAAUGGUGGACAGUUGUUAAAGGAGCAAUCCGCUUGAAGAGGAGCUUGCGGCAGAUUAGCUUGUUGGUAAGGUAAUGGCUUACCAAGGCUACGAUCUGUAUCCGGUCUAAGAGGACGGUCGGACACACUGACACUGAAUAACGGGUCAGACUCCUACGGGAGGCAGCAGUCGGGAAUUUUGGGCAAUGGGGGAAACCCUGACCCAGCAACGCCGCGUGAAGGAUGAAGUAUUUCGGUAUGUAAACUUCGAAAGAAUAGGAAGAAUUAAUGACGGUACUAUUUAUAAGGUCCGGCUAACUACGUGCCAGCCGCCGCCGUAAG
RNAcentral lists this ribosomal RNA (504 nucleotides) under uncultured Acidobacteriota bacterium. RNAcentral describes it as "bacterial SSU rRNA". It matches the Rfam family "Bacterial small subunit ribosomal RNA", at positions 9 to 524 of the family's 1533-position model. Lineage: Bacteria; Pseudomonadati; Acidobacteriota. The record is from RNAcentral.